GAGUAGCAGAAACUAACACAACAAUGUAAAGCAAUUAUACUCCAAUAAAGAUGUUAAAAAAAUAAAAAUAAAAGAAGGUGUUGUGUGAGAAAUGCUGAGUGAGGAGUCCUUAGAAGACCAUGUGCAAAGAAGUUAAUGAGGAAGAUUAAGGAAAAGAAAGGAAUGGGUGAGUUGUGCUGAUACUCCAAGGGAAAUUCCAUUUUGAUUUUCCCAAUGAAUUGCUCAUGGAAAAUUA
Molecule: long non-coding RNA, 235 nt
Filed under: Delphinapterus leucas (beluga whale)
Lineage: Eukaryota; Metazoa; Chordata; Mammalia; Artiodactyla; Monodontidae
Description: lncRNA (ENSDLEG00000003367.1)
Source: RNAcentral